UGUACUUCCGUGUCAGAAUACACAUCAGCUCUACGUCCUAAUUCGUUUGUCAGUGAACCUAUAACGUAAAUUCGUAAGUUAUUUCCCACAAUGUUUUGGUCAGCUUUAUUUUACAUUUUUGGCCUUGCCGUACUAUGGGGCAUUUAUCGCCUCACGUCGAUCACAAAAUGCCGGCUGAUGGAGCACCGAAUGCAACUGAUGGAGCUGGAAACCCAAAUGAUCAGUCUGGAACUUAAGAUGAUGCAGUUCGUUGACAGAACACUCGUUGGACAAAAUCUGAAGCUGCGCGAUCUGGAAAAGAUCAAACAAUCAGUGAAACGUUUCUCCAAAAGUCUUGAGUUCAAUCGUCGCUCGUUUGGUGUCGACUAAAAAAUUUGAGGAUUAAUUUGUUGAAUAAAUUCCAUAUUUAUAAUGUUUUACCAGUUCCCGUAAAGGUCAUAGUACCCUCUGUAAGGGUGUAAAAGAAGAGGGGGAGGCAACAUGCAGGGGGGCGGUUGGGCGUCUCAUACAGAACUGUCCCAGGCAGAACUCUACUAAACGGUCACCCACAAUCAUCGGCGCCCGUACAGCCAAUAGCCGGAGAGGAAACUCCAAAAUAAAGUGCAACGGAAAAACAACAGCAAGAACAACAGAUCCAUAGCCAUCGCCAUCGCCAUCGCAAUGGUCGAUGCGGUCAAGGGGGCGUCCGGAUGUUGGCGUAGGUGCAGCAGGAUGGGAAUCAAGACCUUCGAGGUGGGAGCCCAAGUGAGGCAUAUGGAAUCCAUGGUCCAAGAGGAGCUUUGGCAUAAUUGCACAGAUUCCUUUUUGAUACAUGGAAGAUUGUGAUCGAGAAGAAAGUAUGGCAAUCGCAGGGAUAUUCAAUCAAAGGAACGAAAGAAGUAUUAAUUAAAGAGGUUCCAAAUUGAUAUAUGUAGUUCGCAAUUAUAAGAGCAUUUCCACAGCCAGCUACAGCCAGACCCAAACACCAAGGCUGCGUCCAGCAGGACAAACAAUAUGUUGAGAACGGGGCAGAACAGAAGUUGGUUACAUUUCUCGAAUCGGUUGGAUUU
Drosophila miranda is the source of this 1049-nucleotide long non-coding RNA. RefSeq lists it as uncharacterized. NCBI's taxonomy places the organism in Eukaryota, Metazoa, Arthropoda, Insecta, Diptera, Drosophilidae. The record is from RefSeq and is a predicted model, not a curated record. The transcript has 3 exons.